CUCAGAAUGAUUGGUAAAUAUUAUUCUAAUUAUUUACUAAAUCUCUAAGUUGAAUUGCAUACACAUUCAGUGAAAUAGCAGAAUUUCUUUUGAAGACAGUGGUGGAACUGUAAAUAAAAGUUAGCUAAUUUUUAAAUAUUGGCAUUACAAUGACACCAGAAGGCAUCAGUCAAUAUUAGGGCCUCAUUAUGCUAAACUCUCUACAUAAGCAUGUGAAGAGAGACAAAAAGUCUUGGCUACAAGGAAUUUGCACAGUGAAUAGCCAAGAGAAAGUGUAAAAGGAAGAAGGUAUUAAUGUCUCCAUUUAAUGCCCUUAAUAACACACUUUAACUUUUGGUCAGCCCUGAAGUGGUCAGGCAGUUGACUAGAUGAUCACUGUAGGUCCCUUCCCACUGAAAAUAUUCUAUUUUACAGACAGAAUGCAAAGAAAAGUGAUUUGCCUAAGGCUACUGUGUGCCACCAGUAGAAAGCAAAUUCGGAUUUCUGAACUAUAUUCUAGGCAAUUUCUCAUAGUUUAUUUUACAGCACCUUUUUGGACCUUGAGGAAGGUUCCCCUGCUUGCCCCUCAGCGUGUAAUUUGAUAUAGAGCAUGUAUGAGCAUUCCCCAUCUUACCCCGUCUCUUCCCCUUUCCAGAGACUCCAGUACUUUGCUAACCACCUUCAUUCUCUUUCAGCCUCAGGAGGAGAAGUUCCAGAGUGGGAUAUGGACUGCAGUACGCCACAUGUGAGGUCUUUACCUUUUUUCCCUCCACGUGGUUACCAAGGAAUGUAAAGCAAGCUAUCACUGUGUGUCAGAUGCAAGCAAGGUCUAAGAGCUCUAGAGCAGCUGAGAACAUGGAUACAGCAUCUUAAGUGUCAAGAUGACACUAUACUGGCAGAGGAGUCUGUAAGGGGCAGAGGCUUCCAUUUCCUGCUGAGUUUUGUCAGGAUCCAGGUCUGCUGUGUUAUACAGGGAGAAAGUGUUGUCUGCAAGAUGGGAGUGUGUCUCUGUAGCACCUCACAGACUGAGGGGAGACACUGCCUGGGAGUACAGGACACUUUACGGGUUGCAGGGGAACAGCACUUUGGAAUUGUGCAAAACUUAUCAUAGAAUGUUUAGGGGAGGAACCACAGCAGAGAAAGGGAGGGAUAGAGGUGGUCUGGGGAGGAAAAAUCUUGGGAAAACAGAGAGAUAAGGGGCUAAAAGGGGGCAGUCACAUGUAAACAGGUGGCUAGUCAGUAGGCUUGUCUGGCCCUGCCCUGCACUUGAUCAGCACAGUCUGUCCUGUGUUCUCAUUAAACUCCACUUUUAUUUUCCUGGG
Long non-coding RNA from Harpia harpyja (harpy eagle), 1301 nucleotides. RefSeq lists it as uncharacterized. The record is from RefSeq and is a predicted model, not a curated record. The transcript has 2 exons. NCBI's taxonomy places the organism in Eukaryota, Metazoa, Chordata, Aves, Accipitriformes, Accipitridae.